Molecule: transfer RNA, 66 nt
Filed under: Notidobia ciliaris
Lineage: Eukaryota; Metazoa; Arthropoda; Insecta; Trichoptera; Sericostomatidae
Description: tRNA-Ile
Source: RNAcentral
AAUAAAGUGCCUGAUAAAAGGAUUAUUUUGAUAGAAUAAAUUAUGUAACUCUCAUUACCUUUAUUA